Molecule: long non-coding RNA, 1247 nt
Organism: Mus musculus (house mouse)
Lineage: Eukaryota; Metazoa; Chordata; Mammalia; Rodentia; Muridae
Product: predicted gene 4208
Exons: 3
Source: RefSeq, a predicted model, not a curated record
AGAGGCAGAACUGAAUCUUGAACCCUAGUCUCUAAGAUUCCAACAGCACUGUUUUCUUUUUUUUACCCUCUCAACAGGUCUAAGUUCAAGGAAAGCAGAGGACUGGGAACUUCAAAACCUUAGGCGAGGUCUUUGAACUCCCACGGGUUUUAAACACAGUUGGCUCCAAAGACAGGCAGGAAUUCUCAAGGAGGGGUGAGAAAAGGAGGGCAGGGAGAGGGGAAGAGGAAGAGAGAAGCAGGCCCAGGUGGUCAAGCUGAACUGCCAGGGUAAUAGUGCUGAGGUGUGCCCACCGGCACACCUAGUCAGCAAGACAGAGCAUGCAGGGAAAAGCUGUAUUUUGGUUCAAGGCAGGAGUAGUCAAGACUUCUUUGGGAGAUUUAUUGGAGUCUUUGCUUCAAACCACUGCAACCUGGCUGUGCAGACAUCUCUGUGAGACAGGCAGAACUGCAUUGCCAGGAGAGGCUGAGCCUGGGAUUGGAGGAACUAAGGCCUUUCUGCUCCUGUGUGGGCAAUGGGAUCAGACAGGAUCAGAGUCUGGGCUUGUCUGCUCUGGUCCUGCCCUGUGGGUUCUCCACUGAAGCUGAAUGUACUGCACUGACGUCCCAGGGUGCUGGAAGAAGAGGGGUCAGUAACUUGAUGGAAGCCCAGGUCUCGGAAGGCUUGUGAAGUCCAUGAUGAUCACAGGAGGGGCAAAGAGAGAAGUUGCAGAUUUGGCUGUGGUGACCUUCCAAGGCCUGGGAGUCAGAGAGUGACUGCUUCUUCUGAAGAUGAAGGGAAGCCGUAGACUCAUUCAGAUAAGACAGGGUCUCCUCUCUCUGACCCUCGGGCCCCAGUGUGAUCUAUGCCCUCUGGAGUCAAACUCUUAAUUGACUGCUUUGUGUCCUGGGAAGGCGUUGACCUCUUUUCCCUCAGAAGGAUCUGAGCAGCUGUCUCUGAGGCAUUUUUUUCCCCUUAGCUCCUCCUCCUCCCUUGAGGAGUUAGCAUAAACAGCAUCAUCUUGGAGGCCUUCCUUGAUGACUUACUUAGAGACAGGAAUCCUGGUGAUUCCUGUUAGAGGCACCUGCUAAUUGCCAUCACUGCAUUUCCCGUAAGCGGUCCUGAUUCUCUGUGUGCUGUGUGUUUGGCUGUUUGUUUGUUUGUUUGUUUGUUUGUUUUCCCACUGGAGUGUAAAAAGUCAGGAAGUGUUCAAAAACAUUUCUUAAAUAAAGCAAUCUGGUCAACUUUCCUCUUUGGAGUGUGUGUGU